RNAcentral lists this unclassified non-coding RNA (1360 nucleotides) under uncultured Neocallimastigales. Its description in RNAcentral is "partial contains small subunit ribosomal RNA, internal transcribed spacer 1, 5.8S ribosomal RNA, internal transcribed spacer 2, and large subunit ribosomal RNA". The stretch from base 597 to 1360 matches the Rfam family "Eukaryotic large subunit ribosomal RNA", at positions 1 to 628 of the family's 3401-position model. The record is from RNAcentral. Lineage: Eukaryota; Fungi; Neocallimastigomycota; Neocallimastigomycetes; Neocallimastigales.
UUUCCGUAGGUGAACCUGCGGAAGGAUCAUUAAAAAUGAGACCUGACUCAAGGUCUAUUAAUAUCCUACCCUUUGUGAAUUUGUUUGUUUUAAUAUGUGUCUUUCCCUGUUUGGUUUGAAGCUUUGUUUAAAAGUUCGAACCUUCAGGGGAAUGGCAAACUUUUUUUUAAAAUUAAACUUUUUGUAUUCAUUUGUCUAAAAUUAUUUUUAUAAUAUAAAAACAACUUUUGACAAUGGAUCUCUUGGUUCUCGCAACGAUGAAGAACGCAGCAAAAUGCGAUAAGUAGUGUGAAUUGCAGAAUACGUGAAUCAUCGAAUCUUCGAACGCAUAUUGCACUUUUUUGUUUACCAAAAAGUAUGUCUGUUUGAGUAUCAGUAAAAUAUUCUCAUAAAAACUUUUGUUUUUAUGGUUAUGAGUGUUUUACAACGAUACAAGUUGUUUCACUUUAAAUUCUUUGUCUUGUAAAAAAUCAUUAAAACUGAUUUUUUUUAAAAAUUGGAUAAAAUUUUCCCGUAAAAAGGAAUAACCUAAACAAUUUUAAAUUAAAUUGGUUUGAUUCUUUUAAGACUUAAAGGAAAAAAAGUAAAAAUUAACCUGAUCUCAAUCAGAUAAGAGUACCCGCUGAACUUAAGCAUAUCAAUAAGCGGAGGAAAAGAAACUAACAAGGAUUCCCUUAGUAACGGCGAGUGAAGCGGGAAGAGCUCAAAUUUGAAAUCUUCAAGGUUUACCUUGACGAAUUGUAGUUUAAAGAAGUGUUUCUGUUGGAGUUUUGGUAAAGUUCUUUGGAAUAGGACAUCAUAGAGGGUGAGAAUCCCGUAUUUGACCAUUAUUUCCAGCUGUGUGAUACACUUUCAAAGAGUCGGAUUGUUUGGGAAUGCAGUCCAAAUGGGUGGUAAAUUUCAUCUAAAGCUAAAUAUUGGCGAGAGACCGAUAGCGAACAAGUACCGUGAGGGAAAGAUGAAAAGACUUUGAAAGAGAGUUAAACAGUACGUGAAAUUGUCAAGAGGGAAGCGUUUGACACCAGUGUUGUUUUCUCGAAGAUCAAUUAAAAUGAAGGGAUUUUGUGUUGUAUUGACUUAUCAGCUUUCUGCACUUUUUUCUUAUCUUUUUUAAUGCACUUUUCGUUUAACAAGUCAACAUCAUUUCUUUUGUUGUAAAAGGGUCAUUGGAAGGUGGCUUUUUCUUCGGAAAAAGUGUUCAUAGCCUUUGGCUUCUGCAAUCGGAGAGAUUGAGGUCUGCAGCGUAGAUCUUCGGGGUUAGAUACAUUUGUGCUAAGCUAUAGUUCUUUAUAGACAACUUGUUGACUAUAAUAGUCUGUACUUACUCGCUUAUGCUAUUUUACCUACGCUUAGGAUGUUG